GCCCCCGUAGCUCAGCAGGAUAGAGCAGCGGUUUCCUAAACCGCGGGCCGCACGUUCAAAUCGUGUCGGGGGCACCA
RNAcentral lists this transfer RNA (77 nucleotides) under Nitrospirota bacterium. RNAcentral describes it as "tRNA-Arg". It matches the Rfam family "tRNA". Rfam says of the family: Transfer RNA (tRNA) molecules are approximately 80 nucleotides in length. Lineage: Bacteria; Pseudomonadati; Nitrospirota. RNAcentral also lists the same sequence under 1 other name. The record is from RNAcentral.